GAUGAACGCUGGCGGCGUGCUUAACACAUGCAAGUCGAGCGAGUGAGUUCUUCGGAACGAUCUAGCGGCGGACGGGUGAGUAACACGUGGGCAACCUGCCUCAUAGAGGGGAAUAGCCUCCCGAAAGGGAGAUUAAUACCGCAUAAAAUUAUCGAGUGGCAUCACAUGAUAAUCAAAGGAGUAAUCCGCUAUGAGAUGGGCCCGCGGCGCAUUAGCUAGUUGGUGAGGUAACGGCUCACCAAGGCGACUAUGCGUAGCCGACCUGAGAGGGUGAUCGGCCACAGUGGGACUGAGACCCGGCCCCGACUCCUACGGGAGGCAGCAGUGGGGAAUAUUGCACAAUGGGGGAAACCCUGAUGCAGCAACGCCGCGUGAGUGAUGAAGGUCUUCGGAUUGUAAAGCUCUGUCUUUGGGGACGAUAAUGACGGUACCCAAGGAGGAAGCCACGGCUAACUACGUGCCAGCCGCCGCCGUAA
Molecule: ribosomal RNA, 476 nt
Filed under: uncultured bacterium
Lineage: Bacteria
Description: partial 16S ribosomal RNA
Rfam family: Bacterial small subunit ribosomal RNA
Source: RNAcentral